AGAGUUUGAUCCUGGCUCAGAGUGAACGCUGGCGGCGUGCCUAAUACAUGCAAGUCGAACGGACAAGUAAGAGCUUGCUCUUAUGAGUUAGUGGCGCACGGGUGAGUAAUGUAUAGUUAAUCUGCCCUACACUGGAGGACAACAGUUAGAAAUGACUGCUAAUACUCCAUACUCCUUCUUAACACAAGUUAAGUCGGGAAAGUUUUUUCGGUGUAGGAUGAGACUAUAUUGUAUCAGCUAGUUGGUGAGGUAAUGGCUCACCAAGGCUAUGACGCAUAACUGGUCUGAGAGGAUGAUCAGUCACACUGGAACUGAGACACGGUCCAGACUCCUACGGGAGGCAGCAGUAGGGAAUAUUGCUCAAUGGGGGAAACCCUGAAGCAGCAACGCCGCGUGGAGGAUGACACUUUUCGGAGCGUAAACUCCUUUUGUUAGGGAAGAACAAUGACGGUACCUAACGAAUAAGCACCGGCUAACUCCGUGCCAGCAGCCGCGGUAAUACGGAGGGUGCAAGCGUUACUCGGAAUCACUGGGCGUAAAGGACGCGUAGGCGGAUUAUCAAGUCUUUUGUGAAAUCUAAUGGCUCAACCAUUAAACUGCUUGAGAAACUGAUAAUCUAGAGUGAGGGAGAGGCAGAUGGAAUUGGUGGUGUAGGGGUAAAAUCCGUAGAGAUCACCAGGAAUACCCAUUGCGAAGGCGAUCUGCUGGAACUUAACUGACGCUAAUGCGUGAAAGCGUGGGGAGCAAACAGGAUUAGAUACCCUGGUAGUCCACGCCCUAAACGAUGUAUACUAGUUGUUGCUGUGCUAGUCAUGGCAGUAAUGCACCUAACGGAUUAAGUAUACCGCCUGGGGAGUACGGUCGCAAGAUUAAAACUCAAAGGAAUAGACGGGGACCCGCACAAGCGGUGGAGCAUGUGGUUUAAUUCGAAGAUACGCGAAGAACCUUACCUGGGCUUGAUAUCCUAAGAACCUUGUAGAGAUACGAGGGUGCUAGCUUGCUAGAACUUAGUGACAGGUGCUGCACGGCUGUCGUCAGCUCGUGUCGUGAGAUGUUCGGUUAAGUCCGGCAACGAGCGCAACCCACGUAUUUAGUUGCUAACAGUUCGGCUGAGCACUCUAAAUAUACUGCCUUCGUAAGGAGGAGGAAGGUGUGGACGACGUCAAGUCAUCAUGGCCCUUAUGCCCAGGGCGACACACGUGCUACAAUGGCAUAUACAAUGAGACGCAAUAUCGCGAGAUGGAGCAAAUCUAUAAAAUAUGUCCCAGUUCGGAUUGUUCUCUGCAACUCGAGAACAUGAAGCCGGAAUCGCUAGUAAUCGUAGAUCAGCCAUGCUACGGUGAAUACGUUCCCGGGUCUUGUACUCACCGCCCGUCACACCAUGGGAGUUGAUUUCACUCGAAGCCGGAAUACUAAACUAGUUACCGUCCACAGUGGAAUCAGCGACUGGGGUGAAGUCGUAACAAGGUAACCGUAGGAGAACCUGCGGUUG
The sequence is a ribosomal RNA, 1492 nucleotides long. It matches the Rfam family "Bacterial small subunit ribosomal RNA".